RNAcentral lists this ribosomal RNA (441 nucleotides) under uncultured bacterium. RNAcentral's name for it is "partial 16S ribosomal RNA". It matches the Rfam family "Bacterial small subunit ribosomal RNA", at positions 338 to 795 of the family's 1533-position model. The record is from RNAcentral.
CCUACGGGAGGCAGCAGUGGGGAAUAUUGGGCAAUGGGCGAAAGCCUGAUGGAGCAACGCCGCGUGCAGGAUGAAGGCCUUCGGGUUGUAAACUGCUUUAUAAGCGAGAAAUAUGAUGGUAACUUAUGACUAAGGAUCGGCUAACUACGUGCCAACAGCCGCGGUCAUACGUAGGAUCCGAGCAUUAUCCGGAGUGACUGGGUGUAAAGAGUUGCGUAGGUGGCAUAAUAAGUAGCUAGUGAAAUCUGGUGGCGCAACCAUUCAGACUAUUAGCGAAACUGUUAAGCUCGAGACCGUUAGGGGUAACUGGAAUUUCUAGUGUAGGAGUGAAAUCCGUAGAUAUUAGAAGGAACACCAAUAGCGUAGGCAGGUUACUGGGACGGUUCUGACACUAAGGCACGAAAGCGUAGGGAGCAAACGGGAUUAGAUACCCCUGUAGUC